UACGGAGGAUGCGAGCGUUAUCCGGAUUUAUUGGGUUUAAAGGGUGCGUAGGCGGAUCGUUAAGUCAGUGGCCAAAUUGAGGGGCUCAACCCCUUCCCGCCAUUGAAACUGGCGAUCUUGAGUGGAAGAGAAGUAUGCGGAAUGCGUGGUGUAGCGGUGAAAUGCAUAGAUAUCACGCAGAACCCCGAUUGCGAAGGCAGCAUGCCGGCUUCCUACUGACGCUGAAGCACGAAAGCGUGGGGAUCGAACAGG
This 252-nucleotide ribosomal RNA is filed under the name uncultured bacterium. Its description in RNAcentral is "partial 16S ribosomal RNA". It matches the Rfam family "Bacterial small subunit ribosomal RNA", at positions 524 to 776 of the family's 1533-position model. The record is from RNAcentral.